RNAcentral lists this ribosomal RNA (253 nucleotides) under uncultured bacterium. RNAcentral's name for it is "partial 16S ribosomal RNA". It matches the Rfam family "Bacterial small subunit ribosomal RNA", at positions 524 to 776 of the family's 1533-position model. The record is from RNAcentral.
UACGUAGGCAGCGAGCGUUGUUCGGUGUCACUGGGCGUAAAGGGUGCGCAGGCGGCCGUGUGUGUGAGGCGUGAAAGCCCGGGGCUCAACCCCGGAAUUGCACCUCAAACUACAUGGCUAGAGCAUUGGAGAGGGUAGCGGAAUUCACGGUGUAGCAGUGAAAUGCGUAGAUAUCGUGAGGAACACCAGAGGCGAAGGCGGCUACCUGGACAAUUGCUGACGCUCAGGCACGAAAGCUUGGGGAGCAAAAGGG